RNAcentral lists this long non-coding RNA (187 nucleotides) under Fukomys damarensis (Damara mole-rat). RNAcentral describes it as "lncRNA (ENSFDAG00000032585.1)". The record is from RNAcentral. Lineage: Eukaryota; Metazoa; Chordata; Mammalia; Rodentia; Bathyergidae.
AAUGGCUUCUCUGAUAAGUAGCAUAUACAAUAUACAUUGUCAUUUUCUACAAGACACCCCAGCAACUUCAGGUAGGGAGUCAGCAGGCUUAGAAGAUCACUGUGACUCCGACAUGCCUCGUCCUUGUCCCUGGGAGAGCUGUCUUCAGAGAGGGUAUGGAUUAUGGAAAUGACCUGUGAUUAACAGC